UCCAGACUCCUACGGGAGGCAGCAGUGGGGGAUAUUGCACAAUGGGGGAACCCCUGAUGCAGCGACGCCGCGUGGGCGAAGAAGUAUUUCGGUAUGUAAAGCCCUAUCAGCAGGGAAGAAGAAAUGACGGUACCUGAGUAAGAAGCACCGGCUAAAUACGUGCCAGCAGCCGCGGUAAUACGUAUGGUGCAAGCGUUAUCCGGAUUUACUGGGUGUAAAGGGAGCGCAGGCGGGAAGCCAAGUCAGCUGUGAAAACUACGGGCUUAACUUGUAGACUGCAGUUGAAACUGGUUUUCUUGAGUGAAGUAGAGGUUGGCGGAAUUCCGAGUGUAGCGGUGAAAUGCGUAGAUAUUCGGAGGAACACCGGUGGCGAAGGCGGCCAACUGGGCUUUAACUGACGCUGAGGCUCGAAAGUGUGGGGAGCAAACAGGAUUAGAUACCCGGGUAGC
RNAcentral lists this ribosomal RNA (449 nucleotides) under uncultured bacterium. Its description in RNAcentral is "bacterial SSU rRNA". It matches the Rfam family "Bacterial small subunit ribosomal RNA", at positions 330 to 794 of the family's 1533-position model. The record is from RNAcentral.